AUUGAACGCUGGCGGCGUGCUUAACACAUGCAAGUCGAGCGGUAACAGGUGUAGCAAUACAUGCUGACGAGCGGCGAACGGGUGAGUAAUGCUGCGGAAUCUGCCCAGUAGUGGGGAAUAACGUAGGGACACUUACGCUAAUACCGCAUACGAACUACGGUUGAAAGCAGGGGAUCGCAAGACCUUGCGCUAUUGGAUGAGCCGAAGUCGGAUUUGCUAGUUGGUGAGGUAAAGGCUCACCAAGGCGACGAUCCGUAGCUGGUCUGAGAGGACGACCAGCCACACUGGAACUGAGACACGGUCCAGGCUCCUACGGGAGGCAGCAGUGGGGAAUAUUGGACAAUGGGGGAAACCCUGAUCCAGCGACGCCGCGUGUGUGAAGAAGGCCUGCGGGUUGUAAAGCACUUUUAGUGGGGACAAAAAGCCAAAGGCUAAUACCUUUUGGUCUAGAUUUAACCCAAAGAAAAAGCACCGGCUAACUCUGUGCCAGCCGCCGCCGUAA
This 502-nucleotide ribosomal RNA is filed under the name uncultured bacterium. RNAcentral's name for it is "partial 16S ribosomal RNA". It matches the Rfam family "Bacterial small subunit ribosomal RNA", at positions 30 to 523 of the family's 1533-position model. The record is from RNAcentral.